RNAcentral lists this ribosomal RNA (400 nucleotides) under uncultured beta proteobacterium. Its description in RNAcentral is "partial 16S ribosomal RNA". Lineage: Bacteria; Pseudomonadati; Pseudomonadota; Betaproteobacteria. The record is from RNAcentral.
GGGAACGUAUUCACCGCGACAUGCUGAUCCGCGAUUACUAGCGAUUCCAACUUCAUGUAGUCGAGUUGCAGACUACAAUCCGGACUACGAUACACUUUCUGGGAUUAGCUCCCCCUCGCGGGUUGGCGGCCCUCUGUAUGUACCAUUGUAUGACGUGUGAAGCCCUACCCAUAAGGGCCAUGAGGACUUGACGUCAUCCCCACCUUCCUCCGGUUUGUCACCGGCAGUCUCAUUAGAGUGCCCUUUCGUAGCAACUAAUGACAAGGGUUGCGCUCGUUGCGGGACUUAACCCAACAUCUCACGACACGAGCUGACGACAGCCAUGCAGCACCUGUGUCAGAGUUCCCGAAGGCACCAAUCCAUCUCUGGAAAGUUCUCUGCAUGUCAAGGCCUGGUAAGG